Molecule: long non-coding RNA, 2218 nt
Organism: Neofelis nebulosa (Clouded leopard)
Lineage: Eukaryota; Metazoa; Chordata; Mammalia; Carnivora; Felidae
Exons: 3
Source: RefSeq, a predicted model, not a curated record
UUUGUGAGGACACUCAGGCCGGGGAAGUUUCAGUACUGUACCCAAGGUCAUGUAGGUAGUGAGAGCCCGGAUCUCAAUGCUGAUCUGAGGCUGUGUGACGAUACAGUCUUGGCUCCCACAGAGCCUGACGGGGUCUGCUCCUCGCUCUGUUGGGACGUGGCCCCGUGAGAGCGAGGGCAAGGUUAACCAGGGAACACCUGUUAGCCUCUUCCUCCACAUACACCUGCGAACACUGCAGAGACAUCGGACCACCCACAGGAGGCAAGGGAAAGAAAAGGAAGGAUUCGGGCUGUCUCAUUUGCUGAUGAAUUCCCAGAGCCUAGCAGAGCAACUUGAACGUGAUGAACACUCGGUGAAGGAACCAACAAGCUCCCACCAUCCAACGUCUUCAACUUCAGAUGCAAGCCAGUCUGUUGCUGUCUCCCUGGAGUUUCGCCAUUGGACAAUUUCCUGUCCAUGGAUCCUCAGGAGAUUAUGCUGAAAUUCCAUUCCCGGUGUCACCAGGAGUGAAACUAACUAAACUGAACCCUAGAGAACGCGGUUUAAUACAUAAGAACACAGCUAAGUAAUUGCUAUGUUGAACAGAAGAGGAAAUCAGUCACUAUAAAACUCAUGCUGUAGGAUAACUCAUUUCCAAGCAAGAUCACAAUGGGAUUCACCUAAAUAGGAUUAAACUUUUAUGAUUUUUUUUUUUAAAGGGACCCAUUCAAUCAUCAGACUAAGAGAAACAUUUCAUUUCACUUAACUAAAAGGUCAGAACUUUUUGAUGUCCCAGUUACUUAGGCAGUAUGUUAUGCACAAGCUCAUCAGGACAUAAUGGAUGACUUCAGUUAUAUAAAAGUUCAGCCACGUUGAAACUCCUGCUGAACGAUCCCUAGAGGAAAACCCUUUUUGCCACUGACUUUGUAAUCAGAUGUUGUAGCUCUCCACCGGAAUCUUUUGAAAGAUUUUUGAAAAGGAGAGGCCAUCAGUUCAGAUGUGCCAUUUAUUGUCUGUCAGAGGGGAAUUUGCAAAUGCACAUGACCCUCUAGGAAGCAGAGCUCUUCCCUUCUCCGAGAAAGGCGAUGAUAAUUGGACUUUACAUAUGUUUCCCUUUUUGAGAUACAGACCACAGAGUUUGUUUAUGACUAUCUUUAGCACGAACAGGAAACUUGCAGUGAAACUCAAACGGAGGGGAGUAGAGUUAAAAUGUCAUAAAACUCAUGAGAAAUACGUUCCAAAUGAUCUAGUGGCUUUCAAAAGCCCAUUUUAAACACACAAGAAUGAUGCAGCAUAGUUGUGUUUCCAGUAGCAGGGAGAGGCAUUGCUGUGCCAACCGUAUGUUCUGGCCCUGUGACCAGCUGCUCAUUAUUUGCCAGAAGAAUAGCUGGGUGGGACCACGGCUGGGCUGUGGAAAAAGUGUUUCUCUGUGAUAAACUUACAAGUUUGUAUGAAGGGCAAACCAGGAAUGUUGAUCUUUAGCAACACCCUAACCCUACCCUUAACCUCAGCACUAGCUUUGGUUUUUGAAAACAGGAUAGUUCAUAUGAGUAACCUGAGACAGCAUUCGAGGGUGUUCACACCACCCCUUAGGAGGGUACCAAACUUCACUAAUCUCACUUCUUUUGUGAGUCACGUCUGCACCAGUGUGUAUCCCCAUCAGUCAGAAUAGGCUGGGUUCUGCUGUGGCAACAACAACAAAAAAGCUUAAAAUCAACCAAAAGCAUCGGUUUAGGGAAGACUAGUGGACGGUGAGAAAAUGUUUCUGAAGUAGGGAGAACGUUUCUCUUUGCCUUUGAACCGGAGACAGACAAGGGUUGAGACGAUGGCUGCCCUAUUCACCUGGCUUCCGGAGGCAGAAGAUGAGCGGCAUAGCUAGCCCCAGCUGACUUGCAAAGUAAAUAAACUUUUGGGAUUAUAAACCACUAAGAUUUAGCAGUAGAAUCUGGCUUAUCCUGACUAAUGCCGUAUCUACCACAGUUUUACAGAUGAACAAACAAAUGCUCAGGCAGGUUAACUAGAUGACUCUAGUCAAGGGCCAGGGAAACCAUGUAUGAGCUCUAUUAACAUGUCAGACUGACUCUCGUUUGUCUCUGGCAGAGCCACGAAAGACCUCAAUUUUUCCAUGGACUGCUGAGUCUUCAGGCUGAUGAGGUUAUUCUGAUCCCAUAUGCCCCGGGGAAUAAGCUUGGUUGUUUUCAAGGAGAGCAAAAUUAACUUUUUAUUUAUUUAUUUAUUU